Molecule: ribosomal RNA, 387 nt
Filed under: uncultured bacterium
Lineage: Bacteria
Description: bacterial SSU rRNA
Rfam family: Bacterial small subunit ribosomal RNA
Source: RNAcentral
AUUGAACGCUGGCGGCAUGCCUUACACAUGCAAGUCGAACGGCAGCACGGGAGCAAUCCUGGUGGCGAGUGGCGAACGGGUGAGUAAUACAUCGGAACGUGCCCUGUAGUGGGGGAUAACCCGGCGAAAGCCGGACUAAUACCGCAUACGACCUACGGGUGAAAGCAGGGGAUCGCAAGACCUUGCGCUAUCGGAGCGGCCGAUGUCAGAUUAGCUAGUUGGUGGGGUAAAAGCCCACCAAGGCGACGAUCUGUAGCUGGUCUGAGAGGACGACCAGCCACACUGGGACUGAGACACGGCCCAGACUCCUACGGGAGGCAGCAGUGGGGAAUUUUGGACAAUGGGCGCAAGCCUGAUCCAGCCAUGCCGCGUGCGGGAAGAAGGCCU